CACAUUCGGGCAGGUCCCCACGGUCUCCUUAUCUGCGGCCUGGGGAAAACACUCCAUUCAUUCAACAAACGUUGAAGCAAGUGUAGAGGCCAACGCUGGGGCAGGGAGGGGAAUGUGAUUCCCAGAGGAAAGCAAACCACACCAGAAACCAGACGAGCAGCCAGAGGUCAACACAGGCGGGACAGGGCAGGGGCCGGCUUCUGUGGCGGUGUGGAAGCCUGCCCUCCCAGACCCGCAGGAGGGAGAGCGCCAGGGAGGGCAGGCCUGGAGGAGGCGCCAGGCCCAGAGAGAGCUGGGCUGGGCAGGCCACCGGGCAGGGGCUUCCGCGCUGAGGCAGGGAAAGGGGGGGGAGGCGGGGAGGGACGGAGACCCCGCCCCUCAGAACCAGCUCUGGCUGAUCCGCGGCCUCCGACCCACCUGUACCGCUCUUCUGGACACCUCCGCCCCCCUUCAAAAGUUUGGACCAUUUCAUCGCUCUUCUAGUUCCCCUCCUCUCUUGAUGGGGGUCAGGAUCCGGCCUCACUCCCUGCCACACACUUUCUCACAACUGCCUGAAGAGCAGCAUGGCCUUGGCUCUGAUGCCCCCGCAGGAAACCCAGGCCACAGGACACGUGCACUUGGGCUUGAGCGUGAUGGCGGUACCCCUGGCAGGUGUAUUGGGGCCAGAUGACACGGGAGGACGGGCAUCCUGUGUGGGGGCAAGCGAGAACCCCGUUUUUGUGCCGACGGAGCAGGCCUCUGUGACAAAGAACCACAGCCCGGCCGCUAGACAGCACCCGUGCUCACGUAGUCUUGGAGCCUGCAGGUCCGAGGGCUGGUUCCCAAUGCACCAUUCUCCUGGGCUGGAUCUCCAAACGCAGUCACAUUCAAAAAUAUUUCUACUGCUGAGAAAUGAAAGCACUGACAACUCUGGGACUUCAGAGGCGCCUGGGGGGCUCAGUUGGGUGUCCGACUGCGGCUCAAGUCAUGGUCACAUGGUUCGUGAGUUCAAGCCCUGCGUCAGACUCUGUGCUGAC
Leopardus geoffroyi (Geoffroy's cat) is the source of this 1016-nucleotide long non-coding RNA. RefSeq lists it as uncharacterized. Lineage: Eukaryota; Metazoa; Chordata; Mammalia; Carnivora; Felidae. The transcript has 4 exons. The record is from RefSeq and is a predicted model, not a curated record.